RNAcentral lists this long non-coding RNA (580 nucleotides) under Salmo salar (Atlantic salmon). RNAcentral describes it as "lncRNA (ENSSSAG00000100148.1)". Lineage: Eukaryota; Metazoa; Chordata; Actinopteri; Salmoniformes; Salmonidae. The record is from RNAcentral.
UUACGAAAAUAUAACUUUCUGUUCCGAGUACGCGAGGCCUGCAGCCUCACAUUAAAAGGACUCAGAUAAUAAGCUGUUCCGGGUACAUUAGGGCGACGGUCCGAUGUCAGAAGGAUUCAGAUAAUAAGCUGUUCCGAGGACGUGAGGACGACGGUUCCACGUUAAAAGGACUAACAUGUCAACUACAGAACUAAGCCAACCUCAGCGUGAGCUUUGGUUGCGAAUGCUAUGAACUUUGAACUCUUAUUCACUACAGAAGUGAUACCUCCUAGCCGUUGAGUUAGCAGCGGCUGUUCCGCAAAUGUGGGCUAGGAAAGGACGGACGACGGAUCCAGUCUAACACACAACGAUGAUACUACAACGUAUCCAGUUUACCACCAGAGACAUUCUUCCGAGGACAGGAAGAUCUGUCGGGCGACAUGGCCUUCCAUCUACAACCAACCUAUUGAGGCGCAGUUAAGAUUCCUACAAGCAGAUGUCAAACUUGAGCCCCUCCAGCUGAUCACACCUCAGUUUGAGACUCCCCUUCCCCAGCUAGAGCCUGCUGUCUUUCUGCCUGUCUUCAGGGACCUGCCUCCCC